RNAcentral lists this long non-coding RNA (854 nucleotides) under Monodelphis domestica (gray short-tailed opossum). Its description in RNAcentral is "lncRNA (ENSMODG00000042747.1)". Lineage: Eukaryota; Metazoa; Chordata; Mammalia; Didelphimorphia; Didelphidae. The record is from RNAcentral.
AAAAGGAAUUACAACUUCCUGUGAGUAGUUCUUUCUUUGAGUUCUGAGUUCUAGUUGGAGCCUGGUGAAGAAUAUGCUUACUGGACCUGAGACCUUGGACUUGUAACGAUUGGAUUUGGCUAUCUCAUGAUUGUAACAAUGAAGUGUAUCAGCUCACACUUCGAUAUGAAUAAGCAACAGACAAAUUUCAUGCGGACUGUUUUCUAAAUGGAAUGUACUAAUAAUACAGAGGAAUCAUUGAGUAUUGAAUAAAUAAAGUAGCAGGAGCAAGCAAACGAUUUUUGAGCAAGGUUUAUCUAUUCAGUCAACUAAAUGACUGGUGAAGAGUGCUGGAAUUGGAAUAAGAAAAAUCUGAAUUCAAAUCUUUCCUCAGAAAAUAAUCAUCUUUAGGACACAGGGCCCCAGUGCUCUGGGCCAGAGAGCUGACUUCAUCUUGCUCUAUGAACCUUUUGAUGGAAGAACUUCUCAUGAACUUGGGACUGUACCUUGAUUUCUUCAGGCAACACGUGUUCUGCUUCAGCACUGAGGGACUUGUAUUUUGGCACCUGAACAAUGAUCCCGAGACAGAUGUGCCUAGCUUUGAUGACAACUUCGUGAAUUCAAGUUGGAACUUCCUGAGUUUGGGGCUUGUUGCCUAGUCAGAAACACUUUUAUUAAUUUCUUGCAAGAUGGAGGCUAUCCACUACUGGAAGGUUACUAAAACUGAUAUGAGUAGAAAAAAUCUAAUUGUCUUUAGGUUCAAGAAAAAUCAAAUCUUUCUCUGGAUUGUUCAAAGAUAUUAACCUUGAUUAAAGCAUCUAGCCAAUAGAGAUCUGAAGUGAAAUUAAAAUGCCAAUUCAUCUAUCCCACAAAAU